AGUCCUGAUGCAGCAGCGCCGCGUGAGGGACGACGGCCUUCGGGUUGUAAACCUCUUUUAGCAGGGAAGAAGCGAAAGUGACGGUACCUGCAGAAAAAGCACCGGCUAACUACGUGCCAGCAGCCGCGGUAAUACGUAGGGUGCAAGCGUUGUCCGGAAUUAUUGGGCGUAAAGAGCUCGUAGGCGGUUUGUCGCGUCUGCUGUGAAAAUCCGAGGCUCAACCUCGGACCUGCAGUGGGUACGGGCAAACUAGAGUGCGGUAGGGGAGAUUGGAAUUCCUGGUGUAGCGGUGGAAUGCGCAGAUAUCAGGAGGAACACCAAUGGCGAAGGCAGAUCUCUGGGCCGUAACUGACGCUGAGGAGCGAAAGCGUGGGGAGCGAACAGGAUUAGAUACCCUGGUAGUCCACGCCGUAAACGGUGGGAACUAGAUGUGGGGUCCGUUCCACGGAUUCCGUGUCGCAGCUAACGCAUUAAGUUCCCCGCCUGGGGAGUACGGCCGCAAGGCUA
This 507-nucleotide ribosomal RNA is filed under the name uncultured Actinomycetes bacterium. RNAcentral describes it as "bacterial SSU rRNA". It matches the Rfam family "Bacterial small subunit ribosomal RNA", at positions 379 to 896 of the family's 1533-position model. The record is from RNAcentral. Lineage: Bacteria; Bacillati; Actinomycetota; Actinomycetes.